RNAcentral lists this ribosomal RNA (253 nucleotides) under uncultured bacterium. RNAcentral's name for it is "partial 16S ribosomal RNA". It matches the Rfam family "Bacterial small subunit ribosomal RNA", at positions 524 to 776 of the family's 1533-position model. The record is from RNAcentral.
UACGUAGGGCGCAAGCGUUGUCCGGAAUCAUUGGGCGUAAAGAGCUCGUAGGUGGUCUGUUACGUCUGCUGUGAAAACCUAGGGCUUAACCCUGGGCCUGCAGUGGAUACGGGCAGACUAGAGGUAGGUAGGGGAGAAUGGAAUUCCCGGUGUAGCGGUGAAAUGCGCAGAUAUCGGGAGGAACACCGGUGGCGAGGGCGGUUCUCUGGGCCUUACCUGACACUGAGGAGCGAAAGCGUGGGGAGCGAACAGG